Molecule: ribosomal RNA, 266 nt
Filed under: uncultured prokaryote
Description: partial 16S ribosomal RNA
Rfam family: Bacterial small subunit ribosomal RNA
Source: RNAcentral
UGGGGAAUAUUGGGCAAUGGGCGCAAGCCUGACCCAGCAACGCCGCGUGAGGGAAGAAGGCUUUCGGGUUGUAAACCUCUGUCCUUGGUGACGAAACAAAUGACGGUAGCCAAGGAGGAAGCCCCGGCUAACUACGUGCCAGCAGCCGCGGUAAUACGUAGGGGGCGAGCGUUGUCCGGAAUUACUGGGCGUAAAGGGUGCGUAGGUGGCCUUUUAAGUUGGAUGGGAAAUACCCUGGCUUAACUAAGGGGGUGCAUCUAAUACUG